GAUGAAGAACGCAGCGAAAUGCGAUACGUAAUGUGAAUUGCAGAAUUCAGUGAAUCAUCGAGUCUUUGAACGCACAUUGCGCCCCCUGGUAUUCCGGGGGGCAUGCCUGUCCGAGCGUCAUUGCUGCCCUCAAACACGGCUUGUGUGUUGGGCCUCCGUCCUCCUCCCGGGGGACGGGCCCGAAAGGCAGCGGCGGCACCGCGUCCGGUCCUCGAGCGUAUGGGGCUUCGUCACCCGCUCUUGUAGGCCCGGCCGGCGCUUGCCGACACAUCAAUCUUUUUUCCAGGUUGACCUCGGAUCAGGUAGGGAUACCCGCUGAACUUAAGCAUAUCAUAAGCGGAGGA
This 344-nucleotide unclassified non-coding RNA is filed under the name soil metagenome. Its description in RNAcentral is "partial contains 5.8S ribosomal RNA, internal transcribed spacer 2, and large subunit ribosomal RNA". The stretch from base 1 to 120 matches the Rfam family "5.8S ribosomal RNA", at positions 35 to 154 of the family's 154-position model. The record is from RNAcentral.